Molecule: small RNA, 178 nt
Filed under: Arabidopsis thaliana (thale cress)
Lineage: Eukaryota; Viridiplantae; Streptophyta; Magnoliopsida; Brassicales; Brassicaceae
Description: ATSL224440
Source: RNAcentral
UUUUUUAAAAAAUAUUAAUAUUUUCUUCUAAAUACAAGAUGAUUUGUAUAUAUUCAAUUAUUAAUUUCGUACACUAGCAUUUAAACAUUGUUUUGUACACUAACACUUAUACACCAAAUCAUUCUACACAACAUCUCCUAAAUCGUUAAGUAUACCGACUUGUCUCAUAUUUAUAAAU